GAAGGUCAGGCUGAAGACCUUACCCGAUUAGCUGAGAGGUGGUGCAUGGCCGUCGUCAGUUCGUACUGUGAAGCAUCCUGCUAAGUCAGGCAACGAGCGAGACCCACGUCCACAGUUGCCAGCAUACCCUCCGGGGUGAUGGGUACACUGUGGAGACCGCCGCUGCUAAAGCGGAGGAAGGAGUGGGCAACGGUAGGUCAGUAUGCCCCGAAUCUCCCGGGCUACACGCGGGCUACAAUGGUUGGUACAAUGGGCAUCUACCCCGAAAGGGGAAGGAAAUCUCUUAAAGCCAAUCGUAGUUCGGAUUGAGGGCUGCAACUCGCCCUCAUGAAGCUGGAAUCCGUAGUAAUCGCGUUUCAACAGAACGCGGUGAAUACGUCCCUGCUCCUU
This 390-nucleotide ribosomal RNA is filed under the name uncultured Methanosaeta sp. Its description in RNAcentral is "bacterial SSU rRNA". It matches the Rfam family "Archaeal small subunit ribosomal RNA", at positions 949 to 1338 of the family's 1478-position model. Lineage: Archaea; Methanobacteriati; Methanobacteriota; Methanomicrobia; Methanotrichales; Methanotrichaceae. The record is from RNAcentral.